RNAcentral lists this ribosomal RNA (728 nucleotides) under uncultured Leptothrix sp. RNAcentral's name for it is "bacterial SSU rRNA". It matches the Rfam family "Bacterial small subunit ribosomal RNA", at positions 770 to 1502 of the family's 1533-position model. Lineage: Bacteria; Pseudomonadati; Pseudomonadota; Betaproteobacteria; Burkholderiales; Sphaerotilaceae. The record is from RNAcentral.
UAACCGGAUUAGAUACCCUGGGUAGUCCACGCCCUAAACGAUGUCAACUGGUUGUUGGGAGGGUUUCUUCUCAGUAACGUAGCUAACGCGUGAAGUUGACCGCCUGGGGAGUACGGCCGCAAGGUUGAAACUCAAAGGAAUUGACGGGGACCCGCACAAGCGGUGGAUGAUGUGGUUUAAUUCGAUGCAACGCGAAAAACCUUACCUACCCUUGACAUGUCAGGAAUUCUGCAGAGAUGCGGAAGUGCUCGAAAGAGAACCUGAACACAGGUGCUGCAUGGCCGUCGUCAGCUCGUGUCGUGAGAUGUUGGGUUAAGUCCCGCAACGAGCGCAACCCUUGUCAUUAGUUGCUACGAAAGGGCACUCUAAUGAGACUGCCGGUGACAAACCGGAGGAAGGUGGGGAUGACGUCAGGUCAUCAUGGCCCUUAUGGGUAGGGCUACACACGUCAUACAAUGGCCGGGACAGAGGGCUGCCAACCCGCGAGGGGGAGCUAAUCCCAGAAACCCGGUCGUAGUCCGGAUCGCAGUCUGCAGCUCGACUGCGUGAAGUCGGAAUCGCUAGUAAUCGCGGAUCAGCUUGCCGCGGUGAAUACGUUCCCGGGUCUUGUACACACCGCCCGUCACACCAUGGGAGCGGGUUCUGCCAGAAGUAGUUAGCCUAACCGCAAGGAGGGCGAUUACCACGGCAGGGUUCGUGACUGGGGUGAAGUCGUAACAAGGUAACCA